This 215-nucleotide long non-coding RNA is filed under the name Ananas comosus (pineapple). RNAcentral's name for it is "long non-coding RNA (ACOM_LNC044615)". The record is from RNAcentral. Lineage: Eukaryota; Viridiplantae; Streptophyta; Magnoliopsida; Poales; Bromeliaceae.
ACAAGGAUAUAUAUAUAAGGCUUAUAGAAGUGUCCGUAAUAUACAAUCAGCUUCUUAAUUUCUUUCAGAAUUUAGUAUUAGUUAAAUAUAAUUUUCGCGUCUUAAAAUUUUUUUUUCUGUACUAAAUAUGCCAGUACUUAAGCACAGCAGCAGCUUAUAGAGGCAGAAUCCGAUUAGAAUACUUAGACAUUUAUUUUUUAUAUUAUCUUCAUUAA